UAUUGGAGAGUUUGAUCCUGGCUCAGGACGAACGCUGGCGGCGUGCCUAACACAUGCAAGUCGGACGGGGAAUUGAGCUUCGGUUCAAUUCCUAGUGGCGAACGGGUGAGUAACGCGUAGGCAACCUGCCCUUUAGACGGGGACAACAUUCCGAAAGGGAUGCUAAUACCGGAUGUGACAGCGUCAUCGCAUGACGGUGCUGUGAAAGAUGGCCUCUACGAGUAAGCUAUCGCUAAAGGAUGGGCCUGCGUCUGAUUAGCUAGUUGGU
Molecule: ribosomal RNA, 268 nt
Filed under: Phascolarctobacterium sp.
Lineage: Bacteria; Bacillati; Bacillota; Negativicutes; Acidaminococcales; Acidaminococcaceae
Description: partial 16S ribosomal RNA
Rfam family: Bacterial small subunit ribosomal RNA
Source: RNAcentral